RNAcentral lists this unclassified non-coding RNA (341 nucleotides) under Hevea brasiliensis (rubber tree). Lineage: Eukaryota; Viridiplantae; Streptophyta; Magnoliopsida; Malpighiales; Euphorbiaceae. The record is from RNAcentral.
AAUGAACUGUUGCAAGCAUACAUAUAUAAUAAACGAAAGAACAUUAUCCGUAGGGUGGGUGAGGGAGAGAGGCGUGCUGGGGAAAGUAGAGAAGAAUUCCACUGCUAAUAAUGUUUCAUUUGUUCAUAAUUCCUAAACCUACAAUGUAAAAAGAUUCAUACAAUAAUUUUAACAUUUUUAGAUUUAAGAUUCAUACAAUAAUUAGUUGAUUAUGCAAAUCCAAUUAUAUUAAGUUUUGUGUCCAUCUGAUACAUCAUUGAACAUAGCAGUACUUAGAUUCAUCUCAUGAGUAGAGUUUACUUUUGGAUUUGGAACCAUUGGAAAAAAAAAUAACGCCAAUG